Molecule: ribosomal RNA, 254 nt
Filed under: uncultured bacterium
Lineage: Bacteria
Description: partial 16S ribosomal RNA
Rfam family: Bacterial small subunit ribosomal RNA
Source: RNAcentral
UACGGGGGGAGCAAGCGUUGUUCGGAUUUACUGGGCGUAAAGGGCGCGUAGGCGGUCGUGACAAGUCACUUGUGAAAUCUCCGGGCUUAACUCGGAACGGUCAAGUGAUACUGUCGGACUAGAGUACAGAAGGGGCAACUGGAAUUCUCGGUGUAGCGGUGAAAUGCGUAGAUACCGAGAGGAACACCUGCGGCGAAGGCGGGUUGCUGGGCUGAUACUGACGCUGAGGCGCGAAAGCCAGGGGAGCGAACGGG